UUUAUUAUAAAUAAAAAAUCUGAUAAAGGACGGGUGGUGGAUUCCCGGUUGUAGCGGUCCUCUUCAGGAUAGAGUGGGUACUCUGUCACCCAACAGACUACUACAGAGGAGCUGAUAUCGUUUAAUCCUUGUCAGUAAAUUAAAAAAAAUCCCACCUCCUGUGGCUCCUUCCUAGAUUCAUCACACAUUAGCAAUGGAGUAUAGUUGUGCCAUUGAAUGACGGCAGUCUUCAAAGAUUUGGGUGAGACAAGUUUAUUUGGAGGGUGAUUUUCAAGACGAAACCACUUCUCUACUUCAUGAGCUGUCAUAUGCCCUACUUCAUGAGCUGUCAUAUGCCUUCAUGAAGUACAUGAAAGGGGCUUGAAAUUCUAGAAUGGUACAUGACCCGUGUUUGUUAUAUUCAUCUUCCCAGAGUUCCCCAUUCGUCUUCCCUGGUUCAUAAUUUAUCCAACAUCCAUCGAGCCGAUUUUGUACGCCUUGGCUCAACUGUUAAGAAGAAAAAUCGAUAUAUGAGAGAUGCAUCAUGGAAGAAGGGAACACAUGAAAAGAUAUAGAAGAGCAAAAUGAAAGAAGAUAAGAAACUACCUGUGAUGCAAUAAAAGGAAUAGAACUAGGUUGCGGACAAUAUACGAUAGGUUUAUACCCCUGUAUACCAAGAAUAGGGUGGGCCCGGUUCUAUAGGUGUUAUGUUCACGGGCCAGAAACCGAUGAGAGUGAAUCGUGUCUCAGAUAUAGAGGGGGGACCUUUGGAACUCGAUAUUCAAGUACUAGGGUCUGAUAGUAUGGUGUUCCCUGCCCACUUGCUAACUGAAAGAAAGACAGUACAAGGAAAAAUGAGAAGAUCGAUCUUAGCUACUUCCAUAUGUGUAAAUGGAGAUUAAACAACUAGAGACUGAAAGAUACGAAGAUCGAGAGGAAAGCACUUGAUCCAUAGAAGUGGUCAAG
Molecule: long non-coding RNA, 945 nt
Filed under: Fragaria vesca (wild strawberry)
Lineage: Eukaryota; Viridiplantae; Streptophyta; Magnoliopsida; Rosales; Rosaceae
Description: long non-coding RNA (FVES_LNC000908)
Source: RNAcentral